This 468-nucleotide ribosomal RNA is filed under the name uncultured bacterium. RNAcentral's name for it is "partial 16S ribosomal RNA". It matches the Rfam family "Bacterial small subunit ribosomal RNA", at positions 28 to 507 of the family's 1533-position model. The record is from RNAcentral.
GACGAACGCUGGCGGCGUGCUUAACACAUGCAAGUCGAACGGAAAGGCCCUGCUUUUGUGGGGUGCUCGAGUGGCGAACGGGUGAGUAACACGUGAGUAACCUGCCCUUGACUUUGGGAUAACUUCAGGAAACUGGGGCUAAUACCGGAUAGGAGCUCCUGCUGCAUGGUGGGGGUUGGAAAGUUUCGGCGGUUGGGGAUGGACUCGCGGCUUAUCAGCUUGUUGGUGGGGUAGUGGCUUACCAAGGCUUUGACGGGUAGCCGGCCUGAGAGGGUGACCGGCCACAUUGGGACUGAGAUACGGCCCAGACUCCUACGGGAGGCAGCAGUGGGGAAUAUUGCCCAGUGGGGGGGAGCCUGAUGCAGCAACGCCGCGUGCGGGAUGACGGCCUUCGGGUUGUAAACCGCUUUCGCCUGUGACGAAGCGUGAGUGACGGUACUGGGUAAAGAAGCACCGGCUAACUACGUG